GACGAACGCUGGCGGCGUGCCUAAUACAUGCAAGUUGAGCGAUGAAGAGUGGUGCUUGCACCAAUUUGAAGAGCAGCGAACGGGUGAGUAACGCGUGGGGAAUCUGCCUUUGAGCGGGGGACAACAUCUGGAAACGAAUGCUAAUACCGCAUAAUAACUUUAAACAUAAGUUUUAAGUUUGAAAGAUGCAAUUGCAUCACUCAAAGAUGAUCUCGCGUUGUAUUAGCUAGUUGGUGAGGUAAAGGCUCACCAAGGCGAUGAUACAUAGCCGACCUGAGAGGGUGAUCGGCCACAUUGGGACUGGGACACGGCCCAAACUCCUACGGGAGGCAGCAGUAGGGAAACUUCGGCAAUGGACGAAAGUCUGACCGAGCAACGCCGCGUGAGUGAAGAAGGUUUUCGGAUCGUAAAACUCUGUUGGUAGAGAAGAACGUUGGUGAGAGUGGAAAGCUCAUCAAGUGACGGUAACUACCCAGAAAGGGACGGCUAACUACGUG
This 497-nucleotide ribosomal RNA is filed under the name uncultured bacterium. RNAcentral's name for it is "partial 16S ribosomal RNA". It matches the Rfam family "Bacterial small subunit ribosomal RNA", at positions 28 to 507 of the family's 1533-position model. The record is from RNAcentral.